This 24-nucleotide non-coding RNA is filed under the name Arabidopsis thaliana (thale cress). Lineage: Eukaryota; Viridiplantae; Streptophyta; Magnoliopsida; Brassicales; Brassicaceae. The record is from RNAcentral.
GGUACUAGUCCUGAGGAGGCCGAC